CUUGAAAAGACACAGCGCGCACAUGUAAACAAAUGCACAUGUUUUCACGCUUGGACACUUUUGGCUUUAUUGAAAAACUUUAAUCGCCUCGUCAGGAUUAAACAGGGAUGUUCCCUUCUCGGAAAAAUCGCACCAUCCUUGGAUAUUUAGCAAAAGUUGUAUCAUCAGAACAAUGAGGAGGAAAUGGCUGCUGCGACACUGGAGCGUGUCUGCUGGACUUACUGUCUGUGUCUGCAGGUGAGUUUGAACUAAGAGGUUUGUUCAUAUUAGAUUUGUAAACUUGCUUGUAAUUGGACCACGUGACCUUCAAGCUCUCACUGCAGAUAAACAGUUAAGGAAACCAUAAUUUCCGCACAGACUCUCGAGCGGUUAAAUAUAUAUUUUCUUUUUUGUUUGAUGACUCCAUAAACCAAAAAAAUCAGUCAGAGACGGUGUGAGGAGGUUAAAAACUUUCUGCGCAUACUUUAUGCUUCUCUCUGUGCGCUCUCACAUAAAAACAAGCCGUUUUGUUUUCUUUUUUCUUGUGUGCCUAACCGACCGUUUGAGCGCCUCCCACUUCACGUCAUAUAAAGUAAAACUUUUCAAAGUACAAUGAUAAAUGCGGCACUAGCUGUGCAAAUGAGACUUGACACAGUAUUUGGCUUCUAUUAUUUACACCAUUUCUCUUUUUUUUAUACAUUGCAGUCAGUUUUAUUUAAAAAAUUAUAUAAAAUGUGACUGAUUAAACUGAUCAAACAGAAGAAAAGUCAUUCCCGCAGCCACAGUCUCUGUGCUGCACUCUGCAUCAUUUUGUAAACAUCAUAAAAGUCACUACUACAAUUUUCAUUACUUUAUUCUUGUUGGCACUAAAUGUUUCUCAUAUUGUGACCUUUGUUGCCAUCUGUUGGUUGAAAUAAGCAUAACAAUCUCUGUAACACUUCUCAGAAGCACUCGGAUUUCCUUUAAAUGCCCAUUGUGUUCCUAAUGCUCCACAUCACACUGCUAAAGGUUUCAUCAGUGAAAUGUUGAAGAACUGAAUCAAAUUCAAAGCCCUGAGGAUCAUUUAGCAUCUGUGUAAUAUUUUGGCAUCAUGCAGUAUUCCUCCUGUGUGCUUUGAAGCUGCUGUGUACGUGUUUAUGACCCCACCCAGUAGUGGUUAACACUAACUUGAUGUAUUUGUUGAUUCAUUAAAUAUUAAGGCCAAGUUUGUCCUGAAGUAGGCCACAGUUGUUGAUCUAAUCCAAUACUGACAAAGUUAAGGAAGAACUUAACAUGUCUGAGCAGGGAUAGCUCAGUAGGUAAAGUGGUUGCCCCAUAAUCAGAAGGUUGGGGGUUUGAAUCCACUGAACGGCUACCCUGAAGUACCCCUGCGCAAGGUACCUUACACACUGCUCCCUGGGCACUGGCUUGGUGGCUGCUCACUCAUUCACUGAAUGGGUUAAAUGCUAAGAGGAAUUUCCCUACAGGGGAUGUAUGAAGUAUACAUUGAAAUAUGAGUCAUUUAUGUCAUCUUUCCUACAUGCUUUCUUCCUUAAAAUUGCACAACACAACACCCAGCCUACCCGCAUUUCCCCCCCUCUUUUAUGCAAAUGAAAGAUGCUGGUAAGUGAAAGUGUGAAGAACACUUUCACUGCAGGUCAGGCUGCGAACACUUCACUUUCCAGCCUCCACUCACAGAUGGAGUCCCCCAUAAUCUUCCUGUUUGUGAUUUCUGGCUCUGUAGCCCUGCAGCAGAAUCUGCAGGUGAAGCUUGGAGAGGACAUCACUCUCCAGUGUCAGAUUACCACAGAUGAAAAAAUCUCAGUGCUGAAGUGGAGCAGACCUGACCUGAACACAGACGGCUACGUCUACUUCUACAGGAACAAACGCUCCUAUGAAAACUACCAACAUCCAUCUUUUCAUGGAAGAGUGAAGCUGAGGGACCCAGAGAUGACAGAUGGGGACGUUUCACUGAUCCUGAACAACAUCACGUUUAAUGACACUGGGAUGUAUGAGUGUCAUGUAGCAGUGAGGAACCCUGUGAGAAGUAAAAGACUUCACACUGAGAUCAGUCACUUCAUUGACCUCACAGUCACAGGUGAAACAGAUGAAAAGUUGUUGCAGCAGCGACUCGUGGAAAGUGAAGCUGGAAAAGUGCAGGAUGUGGGAGAUGUAGUAACUCCAACUGUUAUAAUGGUUGUUUGUUAUGUUGCGGUUGCUGUUAUUGUUGUUGGUUUUCUGACAUUAUUCAUAUUUAAAAGAUUUCAGUUAAAAGGACUAGAUGUUACAGUCCCUGAUAAUGCAUUGCUUUAAAUGGCGAGAAUCUUGAGGGAUGGCUGCUAUGAGGAAAGGCAGCCCAGAGACAUCGUUGUGUGCCUCAACUUUCGGUCUUUUAUCCAGGCUAAUCUGCCAUUUUUAGGAGGAUUAGAGAUCAGAUCUAGAUAUCAUAUUAAGAUUUGGGACACAUCGUCAGUAGUCGACCUUGGAUUCAUCGGGUGUUUCGGCCAUUAUCAUUAGACACCCUCAUCAAGGAGGCCCUGCCAGGGUUGAUCAGGCCCUGGAGUCACUGGUUUAUGUUAAAUUGUUAUUUCUCUUCUUCUUUCUUCUGUUUAGUUUCCUACAGUUUAUUUUCUAUCUAUUCACUGCAACUGAGAAAUAAUGCUUACCUCUUUAGCAUUUAUGAAGCCCUACUUCUUUAAAGGGAUAGAAAAGGUGAUAGAGAGAAAUAAGACAAAAGGGACGAGAUAGGAGAGAGCAGAGAGGAGAGCCGGAAGGGGGGCGCCUGAUCUGGCUUCCCACACCUCCCCGCUGGAUCAGGCUGUACGCUCUACCUCCCCACUGCCUCCCAGAAAAGCGAAGAAGAGCAGAGGGGAGAAGAGCGGAACAUUUCUUUUCUCUCGUGGUUAGCUGACUGCCGUAGCUGCCCAAGUGUUGUCAGCCCUUUUUAGCCAUAGCCAGUGACUGGUCCUCUCAACAGUGUUAGCUAGUUCUCUUAUAGCCUGCAGUUGCGCCUGUCCUCUGAUUCCAGUCUCUCUAAGCAGUUUUGCUGUUGUACUGAAAGCUCCUGCACCCCACUUCCACCGGGCGCACCUUGAUCUUCCAGCCUCUGUCCUCUGCCUCAGCUGCCAAGUUGGCAUACCGCAGCUUCUUACGCUGCUUCCUCCCCUGGUACCAUCAGCUCAAUGACGUACGCAAGUUUUUGGGAGUUAGACCAAAGGUGAGGUCUGGUUGCAGAGUAGUUGUUACGAUCUCUGUGGGGGAAAUUAGCCUCUGAUCCAAGUCCACUUUUAUCUGCCAAUCCCAGAUGCAGCUUUCAGUCUGGAGUAAGAGGAAGUCGAUUUAACAUGUCCGGAAAUAUGAUUUUAUAAAAAGAAACAUUACAGAUUUGAUGAACUAACAUUGAUGGCAGCUUUGCCAGGCAGCUAAGCAACAUGGACUUCUAGUUUAAAAGUGAAAAAUAAGAAAUAAAAAAACUGUUCUGUGGUUAUCAAAAACAUAACAGCUCCUCAAACUCCUCAAAUAAACAGCAAAUUCAGCCUGGAGCUUCUCACUGAAAAUAAACAUAAUAAAAUAAAUAGAAAAUUCUGGAAAAAAAAAUCACAAAAAAUGCUUCUGAUUGGUGCUAAAAAAAGGAUUCAGACUGUAAGAGUUACUGAAUUGUUUGUUGUUUGUUUACUGUCAUCAGUCUGUGUUUGAUGUUGAUCCAGGAUAAUGUGAACCAACGAUCCUUGUAUCGUCACCAGAGUUUGCACAAAGUCGUAUGGUGCUGUUUAAUAACAAAUGUGUGUUUAGCUCAGUGUCAGUGUCCUUUGCACGAGUGGUCAACUGCUGCUUUGAACUCUUUGAUCUAUUUUUUUUGUAAACGCUGUAUACUGGUUUGUUCUGGUUUCUGUCUGUUGUGUAGUAACUGUUCACCUGUACAUCUGCCCUAAUUACCAGUAUGAGGUUCAGAAAUGUCUUGGCCAUCAAAUUAUUAAUUAAUAAUUAAUUAAUAAAAAAUGGAUAAAAACUGAAAAAGGAAACUUGAAAUGUGUCACAACUUUCUUUCAGAUGUGUUUUGUGUCAGUGAUCAUGUCCUGGAAUGAAUGGGGAAGUUUGUAUGACUCAUUACUGUUGACAUUGAUGUGACAUUUUUUUUAUGCUUCAGUGGUUAAUGAGGGGAGUUUGUGAGCUGUAACAAAUGUAACGUUCUCUCUCUUUCUCGUUUUGCUCCCUGCACACAUCCAUCAGUGUGGGUGAAGUCUCUGCACUGUCUCUAAGAUGUUGUCACAGAUGAGUUGUCUCAACGUCCUCCUGAUUACAUUUCUAAUUCCUGCAUCUUCAUGUGAUUGACACUGAAUUGUUUAUUUAUUUACUAUAAGUCAGAGUAAUCUUGUAAAAUGUUUCUUUUUGUGUAUUCUUUUGCACACAUAAUCAGACAAAAAUAAGCAGUGUGCCUACACACCCGUAACUGUCUGCAGUUCUUUGCAACAAUGUGUUGCUGCAGUGAAAUGAACAAACAAAUCUGUCAGAUCUAUCUAUAGCUCAUCAAUCUAUUUUUGCACCAGAGGUUGUGUAGUCAGGCAUGCUAUUACUUGUUGAGCCCAUGAAAAAUGUACUAAAUCUUGUCUGCCAAACAGUUUGUUCUGCUCUUGUUUGGUGUCAUUUAAUUGGCCCAGCUAAAGGGAAAUAAACAGGCUUUCCAACAUUAAAAGAUUUACUGCCAAGAAGGAUUUUUACAACAAAGAAAUAAUCAACCAAACACAAAUUUCCUUCUGUGCUAACUUUAUGUGGUGUAAAUAUUACUAGGGUGACGUACUGUGACGCCACAGCUGGGAGGACACACAGCAUGCUGAGUGUCUAACAUGAAUCUUAUUUUGAUCUAUAAUAAUCCUCCUAUCUUUGUCUCUAAUUGUUGCAUCUACAGGUGAGUGAAACAUGUUUUUAUUUUCAUUAGCAUUAUUUAAAGUAAAGAGUUAUUCAUUAAACUCAAGUGUUUAAUGAUGAAACUGCAGAUGCUGUUGACACUGCUGCAGAUUGUGGGAAGGGGUUAGUUGCUUUUCCAAUAGCAUGUUCAGAGUUUUGUAAAUGCAGUGGUGGGGUUAUAUUUGAUCAGAAAUUAAAAAGCAGUGCAGAUAAUUUGUGUGGAAAUCUGUGAUUUUCAGGCUUAUGUUCAGCUCUCAUACAGACUGAUCACUGAAAAGUGUCUGCAUAACAGGUUAAUGACUCCUAAGUGAAAUGGUGAUCAUAU
Molecule: long non-coding RNA, 5188 nt
Organism: Oreochromis aureus
Lineage: Eukaryota; Metazoa; Chordata; Actinopteri; Cichliformes; Cichlidae
Source: Ensembl